GACGAACGCUGGCGGCGUGCUUAACACAUGCAAGUCGAACGGAAAGGCCCUGCUUUUGUGGGGUGCUCGAGUGGCGAACGGGUGAGUAACACGUGAGUAACCUGCCCUUGACUUUGGGAUAACUUCAGGAAACUGGGGCUAAUACCGGAUAGGAGCUCCUGCUGCAUGGUGGGGGUUGGAAAGUUUCGGCGGUUGGGGAUGGACUCGCGGCUUAUCAGCUUGUUGGUGGGGUAGUGGCUUACCAAGGCUUUGACGGGUAGCCGGCCUGAGAGGGUGACCGGCCACAUUGGGACUGAGAUACGGCCCAGACUCCUACGGGAGGCAGCAGUGGGGAAUAUUGCACAAUGGGCGGAAGCCUGAUGCAGGAACGCCGCGUGCGGGAUGACGGCCUUCGGGUUGUAAACCGCUUUCGCCUGUGACGAAGCGUGAGUGACGGUAAUGGGCAAAGAAGCAGCGGCUAACUACGU
Molecule: ribosomal RNA, 467 nt
Filed under: uncultured bacterium
Lineage: Bacteria
Description: partial 16S ribosomal RNA
Rfam family: Bacterial small subunit ribosomal RNA
Source: RNAcentral